AUCGGCUUGGUGUAGUGGCAGCAUGCUUGACUUUGAAUCAGGAGGCGCGGGUUCAAUCCCCGCAGUCGAUA
This 71-nucleotide transfer RNA is filed under the name Candidatus Nanopelagicaceae bacterium. RNAcentral's name for it is "tRNA-Gln". It matches the Rfam family "tRNA". Rfam says of the family: Transfer RNA (tRNA) molecules are approximately 80 nucleotides in length. Their secondary structure includes four short double-helical elements and three loops (D, anti-codon, and T loops). The record is from RNAcentral. Lineage: Bacteria; Bacillati; Actinomycetota; Actinomycetes; Candidatus Nanopelagicales; Candidatus Nanopelagicaceae.